This 497-nucleotide ribosomal RNA is filed under the name uncultured bacterium. RNAcentral describes it as "partial 16S ribosomal RNA". It matches the Rfam family "Bacterial small subunit ribosomal RNA", at positions 28 to 507 of the family's 1533-position model. The record is from RNAcentral.
GAUGAACGCUGGCGGCGUGCCUAAUACAUGCAAGUCGAGCGAACGGACGAGAAGCUUGCUUUUCUGAUGUUAGCGGCGGACGGGUGAGUAACACGUGGAUAACCUACCUAUAAGACUGGGAUAACUUCGGGAAACCGGAGCUAAUACCGGAUAAUAUUUUGAACCGCAUGGUUCAAAAGUGAAAGACGGUCUUGCUGUCACUUAUAGAUGGAUCCGCGCUGCAUUAGCUAGUUGAUAAGGUAACGGCUUACCAAGGCAACGAUGCAUAGCCGACCUGAGAGGGUGAUCGGCCACACUGGAACUGAGACACGGUCCAGACUCCUACGGGAGGCAGCAGUAGGGAAUCUUCCGCAAUGGGCGAAAGCCUGACGGAGCAACGCCGCGUGAGUGAUGAAGGUCUUCGGAUCGUAAAACUCUGUUAUUAGGGAAGAACAGAUGUGUAAGUAACUGUGCACAUCUUGACGGUACCUAAUCAGAAAGCCACGGCUAACUACGUG